Molecule: ribosomal RNA, 253 nt
Filed under: uncultured bacterium
Lineage: Bacteria
Description: partial 16S ribosomal RNA
Rfam family: Bacterial small subunit ribosomal RNA
Source: RNAcentral
UACAGAGGUCUCAAGCGUUGUUCGGAUUCAUUGGGCGUAAAGGGUGCGUAGGUGGCGCUGUAAGUCGGGUGUGAAAUUUCGGAGCUUAACUCCGAAACUGCAUUCGAUACUGCGGUGCUUGAGGACUGGAGAGGAGACUGGAAUUCAUGGUGUAGCAGUGAAAUGCGUAGAGAUCAUGAGGAAGACCAGUGGCGAAGGCGGGUCUCUGGACAGUUCCUGACACUGAGGCACGAAAGCUAGGGGAGCAAACAGG